GUACACGCUGUGACUAGCAUAUCAAUAGCGGAGGAAAAGAAACUAACAAGGAUUCCCCUAGUAACGGCGAGUGAAGCGGGAAGAGCUCAAAUUUGAAAUUUUAAAGGGUUUCCCUUUACGAAUUGUAGUUUAAAGAAGUGUUUUCUGUUGAGGUUUUGGUAAAAGUUCUUUGGAAUAGGACAUCAUAGAGGGUGAGAAUCCCGUAUUUGACCUUUACUUUCAACUUUGUGAUACACUUUCAAAGAGUCGGAUUGUUUGGGAAUGCAGUCCAAAAUGGGUGGUAAAUUUCAUCUAAAGCUAAAUAUUGGCGAGAGACCGAUAGCGAACAAGUACCGUGAGGGAAAGAUGAAAAGAACUUUGAAAAGAGAGUUAAACAGUACGUGAAAAUUGUCAAAAGGGAAGCGUUUGACACCAGUGUUGUUUUUCUGAAAAUCAAUUAAAGAACUGUUUAUGCUAAGCUGUUUAGACUUUAUCAGCUAUCUGUUUAGUUUUGAGCUUUUCUUUAAUGCACUUUUCAGUUAACAAGUCAACAUCAAUUUCUUUUGCUGUAAAAAAGCUUGAGGAAGGUGGCUUGAGAUUCGUCUUAAGUGUUUAUAGCCUCUUGCCUAUGCAGUCGGAGAGAUUGAGGUCUGCAGCGUAGAUCCUUCGGGGCUAAAUGCAUCUGUGCUAAGUUAUAGCAUUUUAUAGACAACUUGUUGACUAUGAUUUGUCUUGUAGCUUACUCGCUUAUGUUAUUUUACCUACGCUUAGGAUGUUGAAGAUGUAGCACAUCAU
This 774-nucleotide ribosomal RNA is filed under the name uncultured Neocallimastigales. Its description in RNAcentral is "partial large subunit ribosomal RNA". It matches the Rfam family "Eukaryotic large subunit ribosomal RNA", at positions 22 to 635 of the family's 3401-position model. Lineage: Eukaryota; Fungi; Neocallimastigomycota; Neocallimastigomycetes; Neocallimastigales. The record is from RNAcentral.